RNAcentral lists this ribosomal RNA (475 nucleotides) under uncultured bacterium. Its description in RNAcentral is "bacterial SSU rRNA". It matches the Rfam family "Bacterial small subunit ribosomal RNA", at positions 29 to 494 of the family's 1533-position model. The record is from RNAcentral.
AUUGAACGCUGGCGGUAGGCCUAACACAUGCAAGUCGAACGCGAAAGUCCUUCGGGAUGAGUAGAGUGGCGGACGGGUGAGUAACGCGUAGGAAUCUAUCCUGUAGUGGGGGAUAACGUUUCGAAAGGAACGCUAAUACCGCAUACGCCCUACGGGGGAAAGCGGGGGAGUCUUCGGACCUCGUGCUAGAGGAGGAGCCUGCGUCGGAUUAGCUAGUUGGUGAGGUAAAGGCUCACCAAGGCGACGAUCCGUAGCUGGUCUGAGAGGAUGAUCAGCCACACCGGAACUGAGACACGGUCCGGACUCCUACGGGAGGCAGCAGUGGGGGAAUAUUGCGCAAUGGGCGAAAGCCUGACGCAGCCAUACCGCGUGUGUGAAGAAGGCCUUCGGGUUGUAAAGCACUUUCAGUGGGGAGGGAAAAGACUGGUGGGCUAAUAUCCAUCGGCCGUGGACGCUACCCACCAGAAGAAGCACC